RNAcentral lists this ribosomal RNA (253 nucleotides) under uncultured bacterium. Its description in RNAcentral is "partial 16S ribosomal RNA". It matches the Rfam family "Bacterial small subunit ribosomal RNA", at positions 524 to 776 of the family's 1533-position model. The record is from RNAcentral.
UACAGAGGGUGCGAGCGUUGUCCGGAAUCACUGGGCGUAAAGGGCGCGUAGGUGGCGGGAUAAGUGUGUGGUGAAAGCUCGGGGCUCAACCCCGAGUCUGCCAUGCAGACUGUCUUGCUUGAGCGUAGUAGAGGCAGGUGGAAUUCCGGGUGUAGCGGUGGAAUGCGUAGAGAUCCGGAAGAACAUCGGUGGCGAAGGCGGCCUGCUGGGCUACUGCUGACACUGAGGCGCGACAGCGUGGGGAGCAAACAGG